AAAAAUUCAAAACAGCAACCAAUAUUCAACACAAAGCAUUUUUAUUCAAUCAUGAGCAUGUCCAAAAAAGGACCAAAUCAAAAGCAUUGAGCAAAUCCAUUUCAUGUGCAAGAGAAGGCAAAGGCAAAUUCAAAGCUCACAAAUGAUCAUCAUGAAUCAAAAUUCCAUAUUAAAACAGAAAUGACUCAAACAACUCUGGAAAUUUUUAU
Molecule: long non-coding RNA, 209 nt
Filed under: Lathyrus oleraceus (garden pea)
Lineage: Eukaryota; Viridiplantae; Streptophyta; Magnoliopsida; Fabales; Fabaceae
Description: Pisum sativum (pea) long non-coding RNA (PSAT_LNC016428)
Source: RNAcentral